CCUACGGGAGGCAGCAGUGGGGGAUAUUGCACAAUGGGGGGAACCCUGAUGCAGCGACGCCGCGUGGGUGAAGGAGCGUUUCGGCGCGUAAAGCCCUAUCGGCAGGGAAGAAGAUGACGGUACCUGACCAAGAAGCCCCGGCUAACUACGUGCCAGCAGCCGCGGUAAUACGUAGGGGGCAAGCGUUAUCCGGAUUUAUUGGGUUUAAAGGGAGCGUAGGCCGGCUUUUAAGUCAGCUGUGAAAGUCCGCGGCUCAACCGUGGAAUUGCAGUUGAAACUGGAGGCCUUGAGUGCACACAGGGAUGCCGGAAUUCAUGGUGUAGCGGUGAAAUGCUUAGAUAUCAUGAAGAACUCCGAUCGCGAAGGCAAGUGUCCGGGGUGCAACUGACGCUGAGGCUCGAAAGUGCGGGUAUCAAACAGGAUUAGAUACCCUAGUAGUC
This 440-nucleotide ribosomal RNA is filed under the name uncultured bacterium. RNAcentral's name for it is "partial 16S ribosomal RNA". It matches the Rfam family "Bacterial small subunit ribosomal RNA", at positions 338 to 795 of the family's 1533-position model. The record is from RNAcentral.